Molecule: ribosomal RNA, 458 nt
Filed under: Escherichia coli
Lineage: Bacteria; Pseudomonadati; Pseudomonadota; Gammaproteobacteria; Enterobacterales; Enterobacteriaceae
Description: bacterial SSU rRNA
Rfam family: Bacterial small subunit ribosomal RNA
Source: RNAcentral
UUAAAUUGAAGAGUUUGAUCAUGGCUCAGAUUGAACGCUGGCGGCAGGCCUAACACAUGCAAGUCGAACGGUAACAGGAAGAAGCUUGCUUCUUUGCUGACGAGUGGCGGACGGGUGAGUAAUGUCUGGGAAACUGCCUGAUGGAGGGGGAUAACUACUGGAAACGGUAGCUAAUACCGCAUAACGUCGCAAGACCAAAGAGGGGGACCUUCGGGCCUCUUGCCAUCGGAUGUGCCCAGAUGGGAUUAGCUUGUUGGUGGGGUAACGGCUCACCAAGGCGACGAUCCCUAGCUGGUCUGAGAGGAUGACCAGCCACACUGGAACUGAGACACGGUCCAGACUCCUACGGGAGGCAGCAGUGGGGAAUAUUGCACAAUGGGCGCAAGCCUGAUGCAGCCAUGCCGCGUGUAUGAAGAAGGCCUUCGGGUUGUAAAGUACUUUCAGCGGGGAGGAAGGGA